CCAUGGAGCAGCAUAGCUAAGGGGAGUGGGCCUUGACAUUGCCAGGAGAUAGGCAUCUAAGGGUCAGUGGUUAGGGAUUGAUUUAAGGAAAUGGAGUGGGGUGGAAUUAUAAGAGGAGUAUAAGUAGUGGCCAUUUUAGAUCUAGGGAUCACUUUAAUCUAAGUUGCACUUACCUGUUGUUGUGGCAGGAUUUGUGUGGCUUUUUCUUUUGUCUCCUCUGCAGGUUGUCAGCUAGAUGGAAGAUUGGCUGGAAGGAGGCCGUGCAGCAGUGCAGGAGAG
Pelobates cultripes (western spadefoot toad) is the source of this 279-nucleotide non-coding RNA. Lineage: Eukaryota; Metazoa; Chordata; Amphibia; Anura; Pelobatidae. The record is from the annotation of a GenBank genome assembly.